This 253-nucleotide ribosomal RNA is filed under the name uncultured bacterium. RNAcentral describes it as "partial 16S ribosomal RNA". It matches the Rfam family "Bacterial small subunit ribosomal RNA", at positions 524 to 776 of the family's 1533-position model. The record is from RNAcentral.
UACAUGGGGUGCAAACGUUGCUCGGAAUUAUUGGGCGUAAAGCGCGCGUAGGCGGUUACUCAAGUCGGAUGUGAAAGCCCUCGGCUUAACUGAGGAAGUGCACCCGAAACUGAGUAGCUAGAGUACUAAAGAGGGUCGCGGAAUUCCCGGUGUAGAGGUGAAAUUCGUAGAUAUCGGGAGGAACACCGGUGGCGAAGGCGGCGACCUGGGUAGAUACUGACGCUGAGGCGCGAAAGCGUGGGGAGCAAGCAGG